GGUGUGGCGCAGUUGGUAGCGCGCUUGCUUUGGGAGCAAGAUGCCGCAGGUUCAAGUCCUGUCACU
RNAcentral lists this transfer RNA (66 nucleotides) under human gut metagenome. It matches the Rfam family "tRNA", at positions 5 to 66 of the family's 71-position model. Rfam says of the family: Transfer RNA (tRNA) molecules are approximately 80 nucleotides in length. Their secondary structure includes four short double-helical elements and three loops (D, anti-codon, and T loops). Further hydrogen bonds mediate the characteristic L-shaped molecular structure. tRNAs have two regions of fundamental functional importance: the anti-codon, which is responsible for specific mRNA codon recognition, and the 3' end, to which the tRNAs corresponding amino acid is attached (by aminoacyl-tRNA synthetases). tRNAs cope with the degeneracy of the genetic code in two manners: having more than one tRNA (with a specific anti-codon) for a particular amino acid; and 'wobble' base-pairing, i.e. permitting non-standard base-pairing at the 3rd anti-codon position. The record is from RNAcentral.